Molecule: ribosomal RNA, 253 nt
Filed under: uncultured bacterium
Lineage: Bacteria
Description: partial 16S ribosomal RNA
Rfam family: Bacterial small subunit ribosomal RNA
Source: RNAcentral
UACAGAGGUCUCAAGCGUUGUUUGGAUUCAUUGGGCGUAAAGGGUGCGUAGGCGGCGCGGUAAGUCGGGUGUGAAAUCUCGGAGCUUAACUCCGAAACUGCAUUCGAUACUGCCGUGCUUGAGGACUGGAGAGGAGACUGGAAUUUACGGUGUAGCGGUGAAAUGCGUAGAUAUCGUAAGGAAGACCAGUGGCGAAGGCGGGUCUCUGGACAGUUCCUGACGCUGAGGCACGAAGGUCAGGGGAGCAAACGGG